UGGACGGGGCCCGCACAAGCGGAGGAGCAUGUGGUUUAAUUCGAUGAUACGCGAGGAACCUUACCGUGGGCUCGAACGUAAGAUGACUGUAGGUGAAAGCUUACAUCUCUUCGGAGCAUUUUACGAGGUGCUGCAUGGUUGUCGUCAGCUCGUGCCGUGAGGUGUCGGGUUAAGUCCCAUAACGAGCGCAACCCCUACCUUUAGUUGCCAUCAGGUAAUGCUGGGGACUCUAAAGGAACUGCCUACGCAAGUAGUGAGGAAGGCGGGGAUGACGUCAAAUCAGCACGGCCCUUACGUCCAGGGCUACACACGUGCUACAAUGGCCGAUACAGAGGGCAGCUACCUGGUGACAGGAUGCAAAUCUCCAAAGUCGGUCUCAGUUCGGAUCGGAGUCUGCAACCCGACUCCGUGAAGUUGGAUUCGCUAGUAAUCGCGCAUCAGCCAUGGCGCGGUGAAUACGUUCCCGGGCCUU
This 472-nucleotide ribosomal RNA is filed under the name uncultured Sphingobacteriales bacterium. RNAcentral's name for it is "bacterial SSU rRNA". It matches the Rfam family "Bacterial small subunit ribosomal RNA", at positions 916 to 1381 of the family's 1533-position model. Lineage: Bacteria; Pseudomonadati; Bacteroidota; Sphingobacteriia; Sphingobacteriales. The record is from RNAcentral.